Molecule: ribosomal RNA, 529 nt
Filed under: uncultured bacterium
Lineage: Bacteria
Description: bacterial SSU rRNA
Rfam family: Bacterial small subunit ribosomal RNA
Source: RNAcentral
AGAGUUUGAUCCUGGCUCAGAUUGAACGCUGGCGGCAGGCCUAACACAUGCAAGUCGGGCGGUAACAGAGAGAAGCUUGCUUCUCUGCUGACGAGCGGCGGACGGGUGAGUAAUGUAUGGGGAUCUGCCUGAUGGCGGGGGAUAACUACUGGAAACGGUAGCUAAUACCGCAUACGCCCUACGGGGGAAAGCAGGGGACCUUCGGGCCUUGCGCGAUUGGAUAUGCCCAGGUGGGAUUAGCUAGUUGGUGAGGUAAUGGCUCACCAAGGCGACGAUCCCUAGCUGGUCUGAGAGGAUGAUCAGCCACACUGGAACUGAGACACGGUCCAGACUCCUACGGGAGGCAGCAGUGGGGAAUAUUGCACAAUGGGCGCAAGCCUGAUGCAGCCAUGCCGCGUGUAUGAAGAAGGCCUUCGGGUUGUAAAGUACUUUCAGUCGGGAGGAAGGUGUCAAGGUUAAUAACCUUGGCAAUUGACGUUACCGACAGAAGAAGCACCGGCUAACUCCGUGCCAGCAGCCGCGGUAAUUC